RNAcentral lists this transfer RNA (72 nucleotides) under Acinetobacter baumannii. Its description in RNAcentral is "tRNA-Lys". It matches the Rfam family "tRNA". From Rfam's summary of the family: Transfer RNA (tRNA) molecules are approximately 80 nucleotides in length. The record is from RNAcentral. Lineage: Bacteria; Pseudomonadati; Pseudomonadota; Gammaproteobacteria; Moraxellales; Moraxellaceae.
GUCCCUAUCGUCUAGAGGCCUAGGACAUCGCCCUUNGCGGUAACCGGGGUUCGAAUCCCCGUAGGGACGCCA